UACGAAGGGGGCUAGCGUUGCUCGGAAUCACUGGGCGUAAAGGGCGCGUAGGCGGGCCCGUUAGUCAGGGGUGAAAUCCCACGGCCCAACCGUGGAAGUGCCUCUGAUACUGCGGGCCUCGAGGGGGAUAGGGGCGUGCGGAACUCAGGGUGGAGCGGUGAAAUGCGUAGAUAUCCUGAGGAACACCGGUGGCGAAAGCGGCGUGCUGGAUCCCUUCUGACGCUGAGGCGCGAAAGCCAGGGGAGCAAACGGG
Molecule: ribosomal RNA, 253 nt
Filed under: uncultured bacterium
Lineage: Bacteria
Description: partial 16S ribosomal RNA
Rfam family: Bacterial small subunit ribosomal RNA
Source: RNAcentral